Molecule: transfer RNA, 69 nt
Filed under: Triplophysa jianchuanensis
Lineage: Eukaryota; Metazoa; Chordata; Actinopteri; Cypriniformes; Nemacheilidae
Description: tRNA-Tyr
Rfam family: tRNA
About the family: Transfer RNA (tRNA) molecules are approximately 80 nucleotides in length.
Source: RNAcentral
GGUAGGAUGGCCGAAGCCAGGCGGCGGGUUGUAGCCCCGUAGAUAGAGGUUUAAGUCCUCUUCCUAUCA